GAUGAACGCUGGCGGCGUGCCUAAUACAUGCAAGUCGAGCGCACGGACGAGAAGCUUGCUUCUCUGAUGUUAGCGGCGGACGGGUGAGUAACACGUGGAUAACCUACCUAUAAGACUGGGAUAACUUCGGGAAACCGGAGCUAAUACCGGAUAAUAUUUUGAACCGCAUGGUUCAAAAGUGAAAGACGGUCUUGCUGUCACUUAUAGAUGGAUCCGCGCUGCAUUAGCUAGUUGGUAAGGUAACGGCUUACCAAGGCAACGAUGCAUAGCCGACCUGAGAGGGUGAUCGGCCACACUGGAACUGAGACACGGUCCAGACUCCUACGGGAGGCAGCAGUAGGGAAUCUUCCGCAAUGGGCGAAAGCCUGACGGAGCAACGCCGCGUGAGUGAUGAAGGUCUUCGGAUCGUAAAACUCUGUUAUUAGGGAAGAACAUAUGUGUAAGUAACUGUGCACAUCUUGACGGUACCUAAUCAGAAAGCCACGGCUAACUACGUG
Molecule: ribosomal RNA, 497 nt
Filed under: uncultured bacterium
Lineage: Bacteria
Description: partial 16S ribosomal RNA
Rfam family: Bacterial small subunit ribosomal RNA
Source: RNAcentral